This 866-nucleotide long non-coding RNA is filed under the name Homo sapiens (human). RNAcentral's name for it is "HSALNT0354832". Lineage: Eukaryota; Metazoa; Chordata; Mammalia; Primates; Hominidae. The record is from RNAcentral.
GCUGCAAGGAAAUCUGGCGCGGUUCAAUACCUCGUCUAGCCUGGGUUCCAGUAUCUAAUUUUUUUUUUGUUUUAACUGACAAACUCAUUUCUCUACUGGGACAGGAUGCUGUGCUGGCUGGAAGUUCCAUUUCUACAGCAAGAAUCCUAUCUGGAAACACAGAAGUUGUCCUCUAGCCACAGCAGCUCGAACUUUUUUGAUUGUCGUUGCUGCUUUCUCCCAUCACCCCCAUCCCCUUUUGACAAAGAUCCAACUGUAAAAAGUCUUACGUAACAGUUCAGGACUACUUCGGUUCUUUUACUGGAGACGGGGCUCCCUAUGUUGCCCAGGCUGGUCUCAAACUCCUGAUCCUGGGCUCAAAUGAUCCUCCCGCUUUGGCCUCCCAAAGUGCUGGAAUUACAGGCAUGAGCCAUCAUGCCCUGCCAACUUCUAUUCAAAGGCCACAUGAUCCAAGGAGAAUUGACCCUAACUUUGUUGUAAAUUGGGAUCAACAACAGCACCUACCUUAUGGGGAUGUCAAAAGAAUUAAAUGAGACCAGGUACAGUGGUGCAUGCCUGUAAUCCCAGCACUUUGGGAAGCCGAAGCAGGAGGAUCGCUUGAGCCCAGGAGUCGGAGACCAGCCUGGGCAACAUGGUGAAACCCUAUCUCUACCAAAAAAAUACAAAAGUUAGCCAGGUGUGGUGGUGUAUGCCUGUAAUCCCACCUACUUGGGAGGCUGAGGUAGAGAUCACCUGAGCUUAGGAGGUCGAGGAUGCAGUGAGCCAUGAUCGUGCCACUACACUCCAGCCUGGGCAACAGAGUGAGACCAGGUCUCAAAAAAUAAAGAAUUAAAUGACACAGUGAAUAUAAAGGCUUUGCACAGUAC